Molecule: ribosomal RNA, 478 nt
Filed under: uncultured bacterium
Lineage: Bacteria
Description: bacterial SSU rRNA
Rfam family: Bacterial small subunit ribosomal RNA
Source: RNAcentral
GAUGAACGCUGGCGGCGUGCUUAACACAUGCAAGUCGAACGAAGAUGCCGGAGUGCUUGCACUUUGGCAGACUGAGUGGCGGACGGGUGAGUAACGCGUGGGUAACCUGCCUUAUACAGGGGGAUAACAGUUGGAAACGACUGCUAAUACCGCAUAAGCGCACGGUAUCGCAUGAUACAGUGUGAAAAACUCCGGUGGUAUAAGAUGGACCCGCGUCUGAUUAGCUUGUUGGUGAGGUAACGGCCCACCAAGGCGACGAUCAGUAGCCGGCCUGAGAGGGUGAACGGCCACAUUGGGACUGAGACACGGCCCAAAACUCCUACGGGAGGCAGCAGUGGGGAAUAUUGCACAAUGGGGGAAACCCUGAUGCAGCGACGCCGCGUGAGUGAUGAAGUAUUUCGGUAUGUAAAACUCUAUCAGCAGGGAAGAUAAUGAGGUACCUGACUAAGAAGCACCGGCUAAAUACGUGCCAGCAGCC